UUUAACUAUAAGACUAUCAUACACAUUUAGGUGACGUUGCCAAGACAAAUUAAGAUUUUUAGCUCUGAUGAGGAGCUCUAGAAACACUCAGCUGAUUGGUUAAUAGAUCUUUUUUAUAUGGGCGCCAAUAUACCCUACUGCCUCUAUUAUACUACCCUCAGAGCUUUCAAGAUUACGAGAACUUGUUUUUUUUAAGCAGCGGUCUACUCUGUAAUAACAUAACACCAUACGCACACACUUUGCCUGUAGGCAAUGAUCAAGUAACAAUUCCAUACUUUUUUAUAAAGUGUUUUCGGUUCGUUUUUCUUGUUCAGAAGUCUCCAUACCAGCUUCAGGUCCCACUUUAAGAAUAAGGGAGCAGAAGAGGUGAUUGAAGAAGAUGAAGAUGUUUAGAAGCUAAAUUCCAUGCCCAAUAACAAGAAAAUAAUAAGUCUUCAAUCAGACAUACGCAAAUUUCACAGGUGUCAACUCUAUCGACAUUCCAAGAAUAUUAGUUGGCGUAACAUUUUUUUAUCUAUUUCUGUAUGCUGCCCGAUGUCUACAGUCAGAGCUUUUGUUUUUAUAAGAUUUAUUACAUCGAUUCUACAAAGAAUUUUUUUUUUAGAUGGCUCGCUAACUGUAACAUAAAAGUAGUCUCAUUUAAAUCUCUUUGUUUAUUAUAGAACAUUCUUAUACCUUAUUUAGAGUACUUUUUAAAGAUUUUUAAUGGGUGGGAAAAAUAAGAUUUUGAUUUAUUUAAAUAAAUAAAAGUAAAGCGGAGAAUAUAAAAAUAUAAUUUUAUCAACAAAUAAUAAAAUGCUUGUGAGAGUGCGAGCCUUUAUGCCUGCUGUCGAGAUUCUAUCGUAUGGUCAUUAAGAAUUUGCAUUGUGAACAGUUAGGCUAAAAAAAAAUGUUAUGUUGCCAUACCCCGACCGACCCUAAAAAAUCGACCGACCCUAGAUAUUUUUAUUUAAAUUUCACAAUACAAGUUUACGUUAGCAAAGUAGGCGUGGUCGGGCGUCACUGAAAAUGUUUCAAAAGUGGUCCAAGGGCGAAAAAUAUGACAAUUAGGGGCUUUAAAGUCUCAUUUAAUUGAUCUUAUAGAUUUCAAAGCCUUUGAUGAAUAUUGUGGCAGUGUAAAAAAAAAAAAAAAAAAAAACCCACCUACCUACCCUAUCGUUUUGGGCCCGUUACACCAACAUAACAUUUUUUUUUUCAGGCCUUAGUAAUGCGUUCAUGUAUAUAAUUGUAAGGAAGUAUAAAGAAUUCUUAAAAGUUAAUCAAUGUGUAUCUGUCAUACCAGAUAUCUCCUCCAAAUAAAAUAUAAAAUUAUAUUGAGCAAUUCACAUGCAGAAUGCUCUACCCCCCAGUGACCUUAUUCUUUUGAUUUCAGAGGUUUGGAAUGGAAAUUCUACCACUAUGUGUUCCUUUGAUAACAAAUUUCCAAAGUAUUAAUAAAAUUGCAUUGAAAUUUAGCAUUCAAAUGCUACCUAUGACUCUGGAGGCCUAGAAUGGACUGACUGCGGCUUACUGUCUGCAGGCAAACAAUCACUUGUAUUUUCCUAAUAAAUAAUCCAUGGGUAUUGACCCUAUUUUGUGCCUGUUUGUGAGCUUGUACAUGAGAACUACAGAAAUGUAUGAAGAGUUUACAUAGUUGUAAAUAUGUUUUGAAUAAAGAUUAUGAAAAAGAUUGA
This 1673-nucleotide long non-coding RNA is filed under the name Anneissia japonica. RNAcentral describes it as "uncharacterized LOC117109415". The record is from RNAcentral. Lineage: Eukaryota; Metazoa; Echinodermata; Crinoidea; Comatulida; Comatulidae.